Small nuclear RNA from Capra hircus (goat), 107 nucleotides. NCBI's taxonomy places the organism in Eukaryota, Metazoa, Chordata, Mammalia, Artiodactyla, Bovidae. The record is from Ensembl.
GGGCUUAUGUGGGCAACACAUAUGCUAAAGCUGGAGCAAUACCAAGAGGAUUAGCAUGGCCUCUGAGUAAGGAUGGCACAGAAAUUUGUGAUACAUUCUGUAUUUUA